CGCCCCCGGACAGCCCCCCUUCCGCCCCCCGGGCCUCCAGCUUGGUCUUGCCCCACCCUGCCCAACCCAGCCAGGUCCUGUCCACCUGCCCUGGGGCAGGAUCCCAGGGGAGCCUAGCCGGGCUUGGGCUAGACUUCACCCCAUCCUGGGGCGGAGGUUGGGAUGAGUAGGAGGAAAGCAAAACAGCCAGAAGGGGCUAAGAUGGUGAGGCAUCGUGUCAGACCAGAGGUGGAACUUCCCGGCUGUCAGGGUGUGUGUCUCUGGAACAAAAAGGAAGUCUCACUUCCCUUCCCAAGAGGCCCAGAGCUGCAGCCAGGGGAUAACAGAGGGUGACCCCUGCAUUUGCUUCUUGUUCCUCAACCUGGCCUCCAGCCCAAUGCCUCAAGCCCUCAGCUCUUCUCAACUUGGUCCCUCUCUCCAUUCUCUACCUUCUUUAUGUAUCCCAGGCUGUGUGUGCCUGGCCAGCCAGUAAGGAUGGGGUGAGUAUGGGGAGGGGGGGAGUGAGUCGGGCUCUGUCUGGCCGGCACUUUGCCAGUCUCCCUGUCUCCCGCCCAUGCUAAUGACUCCCUGACUGACACCUGGCAAGACCAUUGGGUUGGGGGAGGCCAGG
RNAcentral lists this long non-coding RNA (610 nucleotides) under Monodelphis domestica (gray short-tailed opossum). RNAcentral describes it as "lncRNA (ENSMODG00000042520.1)". Lineage: Eukaryota; Metazoa; Chordata; Mammalia; Didelphimorphia; Didelphidae. The record is from RNAcentral.